Molecule: unclassified non-coding RNA, 387 nt
Filed under: Hevea brasiliensis (rubber tree)
Lineage: Eukaryota; Viridiplantae; Streptophyta; Magnoliopsida; Malpighiales; Euphorbiaceae
Source: RNAcentral
AACAUUAUUUGCUCAUCUUUGGAGGGAUGAGGAGAAAAAAGUCAGUUUUCAGCAUCCACAAUAAGAGCAACACAUAAUUGAUCACACCUUUUUAUUUUUUUCAACUUUUUAUUUGGUGCCACAGUCAUCAAAAUAAAGUUGAAAUGAAAUCCACCACACCACAAAAUUGGAGUCAACAAGAGUUGAUUAAUUUCAAUUCAAGUUCUUGGAUAUAUUAUAUUUAACUUCACCUUAACACAAGUUUAAGAAAAAAAAUCAAGGAUUUUAUAAAUCUAGAAACUAGGGUUCCAUUCAAAGGCUACAUUUUCUUGUAGUUUCUGUUUUUCAUUAUGAUUUAGGUGAAUUAUGAUGUUUUUGUGGCUACAAGUCAUUAUUAAGCCUACUUAU